GACGAACGCUGGCGGCGUGCUUAACACAUGCAAGUCGAACGGAAAGGCCCUGCUUUUGUGGGGUGCUCGAGUGGCGAACGGGUGAGUAACACGUGAGUAACCUGCCCUUGACUUUUGGAUAACUUCAGGAAACUGGGGCUAAUACCGGAUAGGAGCUCCUGCUGCAUGGUGGGGGUUGGAAAGUUUCGGCGGUUGGGGAUGGACUCGCGGCUUAUCAGCUUGUUGGUGGGGUAGUGGCUUACCAAGGCUUUGACGGGUAGCCGGCCUGAGAGGGUGACCGGCCACAUUGGGACUGAGAUACGGCCCAGACUCCUACGGGAGGCAGCAGUGGGGAAUAUUGCACAAUGGGCGGAAGCCUGAUGCAGCAACGCCGCGUGCGGGAUGACGGCCUUCGGGUUGUAAACCGCUUUCGCCUGUGACGAAGCGUGAGUGACGGUAAUGGGUAAAGAAGCACCGGCUAACUACG
Molecule: ribosomal RNA, 466 nt
Filed under: uncultured bacterium
Lineage: Bacteria
Description: partial 16S ribosomal RNA
Rfam family: Bacterial small subunit ribosomal RNA
Source: RNAcentral